This is a long non-coding RNA of Spinacia oleracea (spinach), 784 nucleotides long. RefSeq lists it as uncharacterized. The transcript is spliced from 4 exons. The record is from RefSeq and is a predicted model, not a curated record. Lineage: Eukaryota; Viridiplantae; Streptophyta; Magnoliopsida; Caryophyllales; Amaranthaceae.
UCCCCCGUAAUUUUAUACAUUUUAGUUAUAUAUUUUAACGAAUAUUUAAUAUAUUUAAUGUAUAUUUAAACAUAAAUUACGGAUUUUAGAAACGAAUAUGUAAUUGAAAUGUAAUUAUUUUAUUUCAUUUGGAAUACUUUUAAAUGGUUUAUGAAAUCAAAAUGUAUUUUCGAGUUUUACUUUAAAACGAGUUCGAAUUGCAAAACCACGUUCUAUUGAAAUUAGAAAACAAGUCCUAACCCAUGGUGGAUUCAUCAACCUAAAUCCUACUCCUAGCCCAAUUGGGCAAAGCCCAAACAAAAAAAUAAAACCCUUCUCUUCUCUAUUCUUCACGUGAAAACCAAAAAAAAAAAAAAAGGAGAGAAAGCCCUCCUUCAACCUCACGCAACUCAGCUCUUUUUCCCUCCCGCUGCUCGCCGCCCAGCCGACCACCAUCAACGCAACCAGUGACUCAAGGCCCGACCACCGCACGCAACCGUGCUCAGCCCUGCCGCGAGCCACCGCUGUCCGCCGGCCAGCACCCCCCUUAAACUCUUGAAUUGGCGGAGAAUUCUCUUUAGGCGACUUUUGAAAGUGUUAAGGUGGCCUAUCAGUUUGUUUACACAAGUCUCUAAGGAUCAAUAAGCAUUGUCCAUCUGCAGGUUUGAAGAUGAUGCAUCAUUGGGAUCGGGAUUAGAGAGCUCGUAGUUAUAUUUGUUUUAUUAAGUGAUUUGGUUUGUUAACUUAGAUUUGAAAGUUGUCGUACUAUUCGUAUUUCCUUAUUUCCGUUAAUUGGUUUUGGACU